GAACGCUAGCUACAGGCUUAACACAUGCAAGUCGAGGGGCAGCAUGGUCUUAGCUUGCUAAGGCCGAUGGCGACCGGCGCACGGGUGAGUAACACGUAUCCAACCCUGCCGUCUACUCUUGGACAGCCUUCUCGAAAAGGAAGAUUAAUACAAGAUGGCAUCAUGAGUCCGCAUGUUCACAUGAUUAAAGGUAUUCCGGUAGACGAUGGGGAUGCGUUCCAUUAGAUAGUAGGCGGGGGUAACGGCCCACCUAGUCUUCGAUGGAUAGGGGUUCUGAGAGGAAGGUCCCCCACAUUGGAACUGAGACACGGUCCAAACUCCUACGGGAGGCAGCAGUGAGGAAUAUCGGUCAAUGGGCGAGAGCCUGAACCAGCCAAGUAGCGUGAAGGAUGACUGCCCUAUGGGUUGUAAACUUCUUUUAUAAAGGAAUAAAGUCGGGUAUGGAUACCCGUUUGCAUGUACUUUAUGAAUAAGGAUCGGCUAACUCCGUG
RNAcentral lists this ribosomal RNA (491 nucleotides) under uncultured bacterium. Its description in RNAcentral is "bacterial SSU rRNA". It matches the Rfam family "Bacterial small subunit ribosomal RNA", at positions 31 to 507 of the family's 1533-position model. The record is from RNAcentral.